RNAcentral lists this ribosomal RNA (869 nucleotides) under Bipolaris maydis (southern corn leaf blight pathogen). RNAcentral describes it as "SSU rRNA". It matches the Rfam family "Eukaryotic small subunit ribosomal RNA", at positions 64 to 944 of the family's 1831-position model. Lineage: Eukaryota; Fungi; Ascomycota; Dothideomycetes; Pleosporales; Pleosporaceae. The record is from RNAcentral.
UAUAAGCAAUUAUACCGUGAAACUGCGAAUGGCUCAUUAAAUCAGUUAACGUUUAUUUGAUAAUACCUUACUACUUGGAUAACCGUGGUAAUUCUAGAGCUAAUACAUGCUGAAAAUCCCGACUUCGGAAGGGAUGUGUUUAUUAGAUAAAAAACCAAUGCCCUUCGGGGCUUUUUGGUGAUUCAUGAUAACUUUACGGAUCGCAUAGCCUUGCGCUGGCGACGGUUCAUUCAAAUUUCUGCCCUAUCAACUUUCGAUGGUAAGGUAUUGGCUUACCAUGGUUUCAACGGGUAACGGGGAAUUAGGGUUCGAUUCCGGAGAGGGAGCCUGAGAAACGGCUACCACAUCCAAGGAAGGCAGCAGGCGCGCAAAUUACCCAAUCCCGACACGGGGAGGUAGUGACAAUAAAUACUGAUACAGGGCUCUUUUGGGUCUUGUAAUUGGAAUGAGUACAAUUUAAACCUCUUAACGAGGAACAAUUGGAGGGCAAGUCUGGUGCCAGCAGCCGCGGUAAUUCCAGCUCCAAUAGCGUAUAUUAAAGUUGUUGCAGUUAAAAAGCUCGUAGUUGAAACUUGGGUCUGGCUGGCNGGUCCGCCUCACCGCGUGCACUCGUCCGGCCGGGCCUUCCUUCUGAAGAACCUCAUGCCCUUUACUGGGCGUGUUGGGGAAUCAGGACUUUUACUUUGAAAAAAUUAGAGUGUUCAAAGCAGGCCUUUGCUCGAAUACGUUAGCAUGGAAUAAUAAAAUAGGGCGUGCGUUUCUAUUUUGUUGGUUUCUAGAGACGCCGCAAUGAUUAACAGGAACAGUCGGGGGCAUCAGUAUUCAGUUGUCAGAGGUGAAAUUCUUGGAUUUACUGAAGACUAACUACU